Pelobates fuscus (common spadefoot toad) is the source of this 995-nucleotide long non-coding RNA. RefSeq lists it as uncharacterized. Lineage: Eukaryota; Metazoa; Chordata; Amphibia; Anura; Pelobatidae. The transcript is spliced from 2 exons. The record is from RefSeq and is a predicted model, not a curated record.
CCGGACAGUGAGCAGGUCCCACCCUCAGCCACCUGCACACAGCGGAGCAUUCCAUGCGGGCAGGACAGGAGGCGGUGGAGCCUGUACCCAGGAUAUGCUCUGUGUGUGCCCAGCCUGACUGGGGCUCCUGGCACAGGUGUGAAUGGGCCCCUGUCUUCACCGACUCCAGGGUAAGGAGCUUCCGGGCACUUCUUUCCUACACACAGCCAAUAUUGGCACCAUUAGGCUUGUCACUGAAGAUUUGUACGUCGUCUGCAACAGUCUCUAGGUAAGUGAUACGUGUCAAAGUAACAUCCACAUGAAUGCCAGGACCCAAGGUUUCCCAGCAGAACAUUGCCCAGAGCAUAACACUGCCUUCUUCCUAUAGUGCAUCCUGCGGUCAGCUCUUCCCCAGGUAAACGACACCCACCCGACCAUCCACCUGAUCUAAAAGACAUUGUGAUUCAUCAGACCAAGGAACCUUCUUCCAUUGCUCCAUUGUCCAGUUCUGAUGCUCACGUCCCCAUUGAAGAUGUUUUCGACGGUGGAAAGGAGUCAUCUUGCGCACUCUGACCGGUCUCUGGCCACAUGCAGCAAACUACGAUACACUGUGUGUUGACACCUUUCUAUCAUGGACAGCAUUAAGUUUUUCUGCAAUUUGAGCUACAGUAGCUCUUCUGUGUGAUUGGAGCAGACGGGCUACUGUAGAUCCACAUGUGAAUCAAUAAGCCCUGGACGCCCGGUUCGCUGGUUGACCUUUCGUCAUCUCUUUUUAUAUGUCCAAACCACUGCAUACUGGGAACACACCACAAGACUUGCCAUUUGGUGGUGCUCUGACCCAGUCAUUUAGCCAUCACUAUUUGCCACUUGUCAAAGUGAUUCAGAUCUUUAUGCUUGCCCAUUUGUCUUGCUUCCAACACCUGAAAUUUAAGAACUGACUGUUCACUUGCUGCCUUAUAUAUCACAACCCGUUGGCAUGUGCCACUGUAAGAAUAAAAUCAAUGUUAUACACUUCA